UACGAGAGGCCCAAACGUUAUUCGGAUUUACUGGGCUUAAAGAGUUCGUAGGCGGUUCGUCAAGUGAGGGGUGAAAGCCCUCGGCUCAACCGAGGAAUUGCGCUUCAAACUGUCGGGCUCGAGGGAGAUAGAGGUGAGCGGAACUGAUGGUGGAGCGGUGAAAUGCGUUGAUAUCAUCAGGAACACCAGAGGCGAAGGCGGCUCACUGGGUCUCUUCUGACGCUGAGGAACGAAAGCUAGGGGAGCAAACGGG
Molecule: ribosomal RNA, 253 nt
Filed under: uncultured bacterium
Lineage: Bacteria
Description: partial 16S ribosomal RNA
Rfam family: Bacterial small subunit ribosomal RNA
Source: RNAcentral